UUAACUGAAUCCAUAGGUUAAUGAGGCGAACCGGGGGAACUGAAACAUCUAAGUACCCCGAGGAAAAGAAAUCAACCGAGAUUCCCCCAGUAGCGGCGAGCGAACGGGGAGGAGCCCAGAGCCUGAAUCAGUGUGUGUGUUAGUGGAAGCGUCUGGAAAGGUGCGCGAUACAGGGUGACAGCCCCGUACACAAAAAUGCACAUGCUGUGAGCUCGAUGAGUAGGGCGGGACACGUGGUAUCCUGUCUGAAUAUGGGGGGACCAUCCUCCAAGGCUAAAUACUCCUGACUGACCGAUAGUGAACCAGUACCGUGAGG
RNAcentral lists this ribosomal RNA (316 nucleotides) under Escherichia coli. RNAcentral describes it as "partial 23S ribosomal RNA". It matches the Rfam family "Bacterial large subunit ribosomal RNA", at positions 154 to 508 of the family's 2925-position model. Lineage: Bacteria; Pseudomonadati; Pseudomonadota; Gammaproteobacteria; Enterobacterales; Enterobacteriaceae. The record is from RNAcentral.